Molecule: long non-coding RNA, 1424 nt
Organism: Bos taurus (domestic cattle)
Lineage: Eukaryota; Metazoa; Chordata; Mammalia; Artiodactyla; Bovidae
Source: Ensembl
GGAUUAGCUCGGCCUUCUCCGCUUCCCUCUUGGCCUUCUAGCCACAGGCCUUCGCGCGGCCGGCUCAUCGAGGAGCGGUUCAGUCCCGGGGCCAAUGGCCUGUGGCCGGAAUGGUUGAAUUCACAGCUCCUGUCUUUCAGGUGAAGCUGAAUGCGCUCGUGGCUGCCAAAGAAGAGCCAAUUCUGGCCUUGGCUAAUGGCACAUUUUACCUCUGUAACCACAGUGGCUCGUUCGGUGAUGGCCAUGUGCUUCCAACCAAGCCAAUCAGGGUCAAGGAGAUACCACUCUGGUCUCCUGGGGAGGCAGACCAGCUCUUGUGCGAACGAGGCUAUAACUAGCAGAUGUGUCUUGGUUUCAGUAUUUGAGGGCCAAAACAUUCCAGGCUGAUAGCUCUAAGUUGCUAAGAGCUGGAGAGAGUGAUUGUCACCUGAGGGGUAAGGAGCUGAUGAAAGCUAGUCAGACUUCCCAGAUGACCAGAACGCCUCUUGCCUGCACACAGUCCUGCCCAAGUGGACUAUAACGGACUGGUGAGAAGUGAGCCAUUUCGGGCCAGCAUUAAAUGAGUGGGUGACCCUAGAAGAUGUGUCCCAGUGGGUCAAGACCCCACUGCAGCUGCCAGAAGGGUGCUAAUGACGUCCUCCAACUCUUGGCCCUUCCACAGAAGAAGAAGGGGUGCGGUUUGUAAAGGUGCUUACAGCUGAGCUGGACGCCACCGUCAGCCUGAGUAGGCACGCUCUGGCUGCUGCCUCUGAGCCACCGGCAGUGCUUUCCCAGGCCUGCUGUUUCUGAGAAAGUUACUCCUUUCAGGCUGCUGAGCUGGAUCUGUGUCACCUCAGACCUCUGUUUUUUUGUGGACAUGCGUGUGGGCGAUCCAGUGGGAGGAACUAGGAGACCUGGGACAGAGGCCUGAGUGAUUCCAGCAGCACGGAAUCCUUCUGAAACAUUGAUACUCAAGUCUGCAUAAAGUUCAGAGUUUCUUUGUUUUCUGUUUGUCACAAAGUGUCUUUCUCUCCAGCAAGUCAAAGUGAAGAAAAAAAUGGCUUGAGCUAUUGUGAACUGCAAGAGGCAAAACCCCAGUUAAGUCCCAAGUUAUGAACCGGGAGCCUCCCAGGGCCUUGUGGGACCAUGAGAGUCAAGUCUUGGGCAAAUAUAUUGUUCUUUUAGCAAUCGAGACCAACAGCAUCGCCUCUCCUCUGUGACCACUGAAGGCUAGUGGGGUGCAGCUCUGGAGAAUUCAGGUGACUGCUUUUACCCCAUGUCCACUGGAGACCCACUGGACUCUUCUCCAAGGUUCAGCCUUUGGGGAUCUUUCAGGGCACCCCUAAGAAAGAGGGCAAACUUCCUGACUUGACUCCCAGAGGAGUGAUAGGGGCUGGCCAGCUGGGGACACGGCCUCUUGUGGGAGAAACCCUUCUCCUCUGGUU